This 429-nucleotide ribosomal RNA is filed under the name Verrucomicrobiota bacterium. Its description in RNAcentral is "Verrucomicrobia bacterium partial 16S ribosomal RNA". It matches the Rfam family "Bacterial small subunit ribosomal RNA", at positions 355 to 776 of the family's 1533-position model. The record is from RNAcentral. Lineage: Bacteria; Pseudomonadati; Verrucomicrobiota.
UAGGGAAUCUUCCGCAAUGGACGAAAGUCUGACGGAGCAACGCCGCGUGAGUGAAGAAGGAUUUCGGUUCGUAAAACUCUGUUGUUAGGGAAGAAAAAAUGUAUAGUAACUAUAUACAAAAGAGACGGUACCUAACCAGAAAGCCACGGCUAACUACGUGCCAGCAGCCGCGGUAAUACGUAGGUGGCAAGCGUUGUCCGGAAUUAUUGGGCGUAAAGCGCGCGCAGGUGGUUUAGAAAGUCUGAUGUGAAAGCCCACGGCUCAACCGUGGAGGGUCAUUGGAAACUAAUAAACUUGAGUGCAGGAGAGAAAAGUGGAAUUCCUAGUGUAGCGGUGAAAUGCGUAGAGAUUAGGAGGAACACCGGUGGCGAAGGCGGCUUUUUGGCAUGCAACUGACACUGAGGAGCGAAAGCGUGGGGAGCAAACAGG